UACGUAGGGGGCAAGCGUUAUCCGGAUUUACUGGGUGUAAAGGGAGCGUAGACGGCCUUGCAAGUCUGGUGUGAAAGCCCGGGGCUCAACCCCGGGACUGCAUUGGAAACUGCAUGGCUGGAGUGCAGGAGAGGUAAGCGGAAUUCCUAGUGUAGCGGUGAAAUGCGUAGAUAUUAGGAGGAACACCGGUGGCGAAAGCGGCUCUCUGGCCUGUAACUGACACUGAGGCUCGAAAACGUGGGGGGCAAACAGG
This 253-nucleotide ribosomal RNA is filed under the name uncultured bacterium. RNAcentral's name for it is "partial 16S ribosomal RNA". It matches the Rfam family "Bacterial small subunit ribosomal RNA", at positions 524 to 776 of the family's 1533-position model. The record is from RNAcentral.